CACAAUUUGUUACCAUAUUUGACCCCCAGAGGGUGAUAUUGUAUAAACUCUUCUAAAAAAAAAAAAAUUCUACCUCACUUCUGUGAGCUUCUUUACCUUACAGCUCCCAGAGGCACACAUUCUGAGUAGGCUACACACCAGGAGCAGUCAUUGUCAAGGAAGCGUCUCUACUAACUAUCUCUAGAACUUAGCCUUUGAACGGGGAUUUCUGGAAACUCAAAUUUUCCUUGUUACAAAGACUCAGCGCAAUCCGGCAGGCUUCUUCCUGCUCCUCAGGGGAAAUCUUCCAGAACACAGCCGUCUGCUUCCUCACCACCUAGCUAUGUGCUCAGUGACCAUCCUGCUGUUUGGAAUGCUCUUCACAGUGAGAGGAACGGGAGCCCAGUCAGUGACUCAGCCUGAUGCCCAGGUGUUGGUCUCUGAAGGAGCCCGUCUGGAGCUGAAGUGCAACUAUUCCUCUAGUGGAACGACUUAUGUCUUCUGGUACCUGCAGUACCCCAACCAAGGACUCCAGCUUCUCCUCAAAUACAUAUCAGGGGACACCCUGGUUAAAGGCAUCAAUGGUUUCGAGGCUGAAUUUAAGAAGAGUGAAACCUCUUUCCACCUGAGGAAAUCCCCAGCCCUUGGUAGUGACGCGGCCGAGUACUUCUGCGCUGUGAGCGACACGGUGCCUGGGUCCACAGGGGGAGCUGAACACAAACUUCCUGAGACACCGCAGUUUUCAGAGACUCAAGGACACAGUCUGACUUGUUUUUAGCAAGGUCUGUCAUUUGAUGGAAGUGAGCAAAUGGAGGAAGAGACCUCUGGGGGGUGCUUGGCUCCUGGCUCCUGAGGAUAAAUAGGAACUUCACCGUGUAUCUUCUUUUACUACUGGGUCAUGUAGACAAGUCCUGGAACAGAGACACUUGUAUGGAUAUUCUCCUGCCAUUUCGGGAUAUUGCAUUCUAGAGGGUCCAGAUUCCACUUUAAUGUGAUCAAUACCGACCUUCUAAUCUUUCACUUUCUGAACUCACCUCCAACAUGCUCCCCACACCAUCUUUUGCUUUUUUUACUUUCUAACAGCUCCAUUCUUUCAGUCUCUGGUCAUAACUCAAGAGUUAUUUUUGAUUCUUAUUUUUUCUCUCACUGUUGACAUCUAAUCCACCAAAAACUCCAGGUGGCCCUAUCUUUAAAAUUGAUCCAUAAUCUGACCACUCCUACCAUCUUCACUAUACCUCCCUGGUCAAGCCCCCCUCAUCUCUCAGAUGAAUUACUCUGAGAGUCUUCUAAGGGUCCCUUGGCUUGUCCUUCUACACUUCCUCC
Non-coding RNA from Lynx canadensis (Canada lynx), 1302 nucleotides. Lineage: Eukaryota; Metazoa; Chordata; Mammalia; Carnivora; Felidae. The record is from the annotation of a RefSeq genome assembly.